CUGGCAUUCCUAGGAGACAAAUCAGCAUAGUGGCCCAAGGCCAAUGUGGGUGAACAGGCCACCAGGAUAAUGUAAUUUGAAAGGUGCUCUAAAGGCACUUGCAUUCUAAGGUUUGUUCACCAAGGUUCUAGGCUACCAUGGUGCCUAAAGCCACCACUUUGAGAGUUAACCCUUUCUGUAAAUGCAUAAUGUCUCCAGAAGCUUUCAGCUAAAAUACCAAUGUGUUAUUUUGGAGAGAGAACACAUGAACUCUGAGCAUUCACAAAUUGCCUAAGCAUGAACCAGUUUAUCAAGUCAUUUAAGUUGAGAGAAAGGUCCUCAAGGAAGGAAUUACAAAAUUGUGCUUUUUAUGGGACGUCGUGAGAAGGCUCAGGGAAGUUAUGAGGAGCAAGGCAAGGGUCACAGUCACAUUCACAGAACCUCAUUAGGGUGGAUCCACAGGACAUACUUCCCACUGCUCGCAGAAGUAUUACCACCCUUUGGAAUAAUCAAUCAAUCAAACCAACUCAACAAUCUUUCUUUUAAUGCUAGUGGCACAUAUUGACAUAAAAAUAAAAUUUUGCUUCCUGGUGGAACAUGAAUAAUAAAAGUAUUUUUAAAGUUGUUUUAA
Molecule: long non-coding RNA, 610 nt
Filed under: Homo sapiens (human)
Lineage: Eukaryota; Metazoa; Chordata; Mammalia; Primates; Hominidae
Description: HSALNT0313204
Source: RNAcentral